CGGUGGAGCAUGUGGUUUAAUUCGAUGCUACGCGAAAAACCUUACCACUUUUUGACAUGAAGGUCGUAUCCCUCCUAACAGGGGGAGUCAGUUCGGCUGGACCUUACACAGGUGCUGCAUGGUUGUCGUCAGCUCGUGUCGUGAGAUGUUGGGUUAAGUCCCGCAACGAGCGCAACCCUCAUUCUUAGUUACCAACAGGUAAUGCUGGGCACUCUAAGGAAACUGCCAGUGAUAAACUGGAGGAAGGUGGGGAUGAUGUCAAAUCAGCACGGCCCUUAUAGGGUGGGCUACACACGUGCUACAAUGGCAACUACAAUAGGUUGCGAGACCGCAAGGUUUAGCUAAUCCAUAAAAGUUGUCUCAGUUCGGAUUGUUCUCUGAAACUCGAGAGCAUGAAGUCGGAAUCGCUAGUAAUCGUGGAUCAUCACGCCACGGUGAAUACGUUCUCGGGUCUUGUACACACUGCCCGUCACGCCAUGGGAAUUGGCUUAACUCGAAGCUGGUGUGCUAACCGCAAGGAAGCAGCCAUUUAAGGUUGGGUUAGUGACUAGGGUG
Molecule: ribosomal RNA, 555 nt
Filed under: uncultured Ehrlichia sp.
Lineage: Bacteria; Pseudomonadati; Pseudomonadota; Alphaproteobacteria; Rickettsiales; Anaplasmataceae
Description: bacterial SSU rRNA
Rfam family: Bacterial small subunit ribosomal RNA
Source: RNAcentral